UACGUAGGGGGCUAGCGUUGUCCGGAAUCAUUGGGCGUAAAGCGUGCGUAGGUGGUUCGUUAAGUCUGAUGUGAAAGCCCUGGGCUCAACCUGGGAAUGGCAUUGGAUACUGGCGACCUAGAGUGCGGUAGAGGGGUGUGGAAUUCCCGGUGUAGCAGUGAAAUGCGUAGAUAUCGGGAGGAACAUCUGUGGCGAAGGCGACACCCUGGACCAGCACUGACACUGAGGCACGAAAGCGUGGGGAGCAAACAGG
Molecule: ribosomal RNA, 253 nt
Filed under: uncultured bacterium
Lineage: Bacteria
Description: partial 16S ribosomal RNA
Rfam family: Bacterial small subunit ribosomal RNA
Source: RNAcentral